RNAcentral lists this ribosomal RNA (443 nucleotides) under uncultured bacterium. Its description in RNAcentral is "partial 16S ribosomal RNA". It matches the Rfam family "Bacterial small subunit ribosomal RNA", at positions 338 to 795 of the family's 1533-position model. The record is from RNAcentral.
CCUACGGGAUGCAGCAGUGGGGAAUAUUGGGCAAUGGGCGCAAGCCUGACCCAGCACCGCCGCGUGAAGGAAGAAGGCUUUCGGGUUGUAAACUUCUUUUGUCAGGGACGAAGCAAGUGACGGUACCUGACGAAUAAGCCACGGCUAACUACGUGCCAGCAGCCGCGGUAAUACGUAGGUGGCAAGCGUUAUCCGGAUUUACUGGGUGUAAAGGGCGUGUAGGCGGGACGGCAAGUCAGAUGUGAAAACCACGGGCUCAACCCGUGGCCUGCAUGUGAAACUGUAGUUCUUGAGUACUGGGGAGGCAGACGGAAUUCCUAGUGUAGCGGUGAAAUGCGUAGAUAUGAGGAGGAACACCAGUGGCGAAGGCGGUCUGCUGGACAGCAACUGACGCUGAGGCGCGAAAGCGUGGGGAGCAAACAGGAUUAGAUACCCUAGUAGUC